CAGUGGCUGGCGUGUCCUUGGUUAAGAUUUGCUGAAAAUCAUUCUGGCUAUCAUCAACAAAUAAUUAAACAACGAAUGUUGGUGAGGAUGUGGAGAAAAAAGAAUCCCCGUGCACUGUUGGUGGGACUGUAAAUCGGUGCAGCCACUAUGAAAAUCGAGGACUUAAUACUCUUACAUUUGGUCACAGUGGUCCGGUGGCAUUAUUCUUCCAUCUUACAGCAGAUGGAGAGAAGGACCUGUACUGAGCAUCCUGCAGAGUAUAUGACUCGGGGUUCACAGGCUCUGCCUUACUCCUUUUUUCCUUAAUUUGAGGAUAUUAGGGUGGUGCCUGAAGACACACUCUGUGGGCUCAAGGCCAGCAGGAUCCUGCUGCUUUUAUCUGGCAGUUAACUUGAAGAGCUAUUAUUCACUGCCCCCGUGUUGUUCCAGAUCCGAAGUCCACGGUGUCUCUGGCCCUGCACAUCUCCAGCCCGAGCCACAUCCAAGGAAGAGGGGGCCUUGACCCAUGCACUGGGCUGCUGCUCUGAGAAGAGGGUUGGCCUUUUAAUUAGUUAAUUUAAAAAUCCGUUUUUCAUAUCCCUUUAAGUUCAUAUCUUAAGCUUCUUUAUUUUCAUAAAGAAAAUAUGCAGCACUGAGAAUGAAGUUGCACCCAGCUCUCUACAGACAUAGGUGUAACAAAAGACCCCAGGGUUUUCUACUCUGGGGCAGAAUCAGUUUCUAAAAUAAAAUUAAGAAGUAAAAGCUGAAUCAUGGUUACAACUUCUUACCUAUUGAAAAUGAAAUGUGAGAUGCUUCAUGAUUUGCUUAUUUGCUACUAAGUGGAUAUGUAAUCAAAUAAUUUGAGCCCUGGUUGAUGUGGCUCAGUGGAUUGAGUACUGGCCUGCGAACCAAAGGGUCUCUGGUUCAAUUUCUAUCAGGGCACAUGCCUAGGCUGUGAGCCAGGUCCCCAGUAAGAAGUGUGUGAGAGGCAACCACACAUUGAUGUUUCUCUCCCUCUCUGCUUUCCUUCCCCUCUAAGAGUAAAUAAAUAAUACCUUAAAAAAACAAAUAAUUUGAAAAUAUUUUAUUUCAUUCCAUUGGUAAUUUGUAACUUAUUUUCAUUAUGAAAAAUAAAGAAACUAUGUGUAAAGCCCUUUAAGAAUCCUUGCAAUUUAUUUACUUAAAGAGUUCAUUCAUUCAUUUUUAGAGAGAGUGGAAUGGAGGGAGAAAGAGAGGAAGAGAAGCAUCAAUGUAUGAGCAAUACAUGGAUAGAUUGCCUCUCACAUGCCCCUGAACAGGGAUCCGGCCCAUAGCCCAGGUAUGUGCCCUGACCAGGAAAUGAACCAGCGAUCCUUCAGGUUGCAGAGCAACACUCAGCUCACUGAGCCACACCAGUCAGGCCUACUGCAAUUUAUUUAAAGCAGUAGACGUACAUUUAAGAAGUUUCUGUGGUAUAAAAUACAUGCUUAUGUAAAAUUAUUCAAAACUUCUCACAAUGCAUGAAGAAUAAAAUUUUUCUCUCACAUUUUCCCUUCAAAUACUAUAUUAACAUUCUCCAAAGUGGGUAGGAUCAAG
Artibeus jamaicensis (Jamaican fruit-eating bat) is the source of this 1554-nucleotide long non-coding RNA. RefSeq lists it as uncharacterized. Lineage: Eukaryota; Metazoa; Chordata; Mammalia; Chiroptera; Phyllostomidae. The record is from RefSeq and is a predicted model, not a curated record. The transcript has 5 exons.